Molecule: long non-coding RNA, 470 nt
Filed under: Numida meleagris (helmeted guineafowl)
Lineage: Eukaryota; Metazoa; Chordata; Aves; Galliformes; Numididae
Description: lncRNA (ENSNMEG00000017189.1)
Source: RNAcentral
GGGGCAGAGACCAGUGGAGGCUGAAUGUCUGCAUUGUGCUAAACUCAGCCAGGGGACCUGAAGGUGUCCUUGCACUCUGCCCCAAUUGGACGGAAGUGAAGGCUUCAAGUGCCCAGGACAAAAUGUAUCUGUUCUGCUCCUGCAUAACCCACUGGUGCCAUUGAAAUGAUGUCCUCAUCCUGCUAUGACCAACAGAGAGAGUUCCUGAAGCUCCUUGAACCUGGCCUCAAGCAGACUAAAAUUUGGUCUAUCUCCAUGAAAAUGGCCUCUGCUCCCUGAUGAAACCAUCUGUGCCUUGCCUUUUGGAGUGCUGUAAUUGGUUCCAGCGUGGGAGAUUUGCUUCACCGAUGCUUCACACAGAUCAGAAAUGAUGAACUCUGCACAGAUUCAGUCACUGUCGAGCAUGGUUUUGUGAAGAGGUGAUCUGCAACACGGCAAAACCCACAGCAAUUUUCAAAUAGAUUAAAAAA